AGCCUGAUGCAGCCAUGCCGCGUGUAUGAAGAAGGCCUUCGGGUUGUAAAGUACUUUCAGCAGUGAGGAAGGUAGGGUCGUUAAUAGCUGGCUUGUUUGACGUUAGCUGCAGAAGAAGCACCGGCUAACUCCGUGCCAGCAGCCGCGGUAAUA
This 153-nucleotide ribosomal RNA is filed under the name uncultured Vibrio sp. RNAcentral's name for it is "partial 16S ribosomal RNA". It matches the Rfam family "Bacterial small subunit ribosomal RNA", at positions 380 to 525 of the family's 1533-position model. Lineage: Bacteria; Pseudomonadati; Pseudomonadota; Gammaproteobacteria; Vibrionales; Vibrionaceae. The record is from RNAcentral.